AUUGAACGCUGGCGGCAAGCCUAACACAUGCAAGUCGAACGAGUGGCGGACGGGUGAGUAAUGUCUGGGAAACUGCCUGAUGGCUGGGGAUAACUACUGGAAACGGUAGCUAAUACCGCAUACCAUCGGAUGUGCCCAGAUGGGAUAAGCUAGUAGGUGGGGUAAAGGCUCACCUAGGCGACGAUCCCUAGCUGGCCUGCGAGGAUGACCAGCAACACUGGAACUGAGACACGGCCCAGACUCCUACGGGAGGCAGCAGUGGGGAAUAUUGCACAAUGGGCGCAAGCCUGAUGCAGCCAUGCCGCGUGUAGGAAGAAGGCCUUCGGGUUGUAAAGUACUUUCAGCGGGGAGGCGUUACCCAAACAGGAAGCACCGGCUAACUCCGUGCCAGCAGCCGCGGUAAUUC
Molecule: ribosomal RNA, 406 nt
Filed under: uncultured bacterium
Lineage: Bacteria
Description: partial 16S ribosomal RNA
Rfam family: Bacterial small subunit ribosomal RNA
Source: RNAcentral